This 284-nucleotide ribosomal RNA is filed under the name uncultured soil bacterium. RNAcentral describes it as "partial 16S ribosomal RNA". It matches the Rfam family "Bacterial small subunit ribosomal RNA", at positions 26 to 312 of the family's 1533-position model. The record is from RNAcentral.
AGAUUGAACGCUGGCGGCAGGCCUAACACAUGCAAGUCGAGCGGUAGAGAGGUGCUUGCAUCUCUUGAGAGCGGCGGACGGGUGAGUAAUGCCUAGGAAUCUGCCUAGUGGUGGGGGAUAACGUUCGGAAACGGACGCUAAUACCGCAUACGUCCUACGGGAGAAAGCGGGGGACCUUCGGGCCUCGCGCCAUUAGAUGAGCCUAGGUCGGAUUAGCUAGUUGGUGAGGUAAUGGCUCACCAAGGCGACGAUCCGUAACUGGUCUGAGAGGAUGAUCAGUCACA